Long non-coding RNA from Capsicum annuum, 1991 nucleotides. RefSeq lists it as uncharacterized. The record is from RefSeq and is a predicted model, not a curated record. The transcript is spliced from 2 exons. NCBI's taxonomy places the organism in Eukaryota, Viridiplantae, Streptophyta, Magnoliopsida, Solanales, Solanaceae.
GAGAUGAAAAUUUUGAAAAAAAUGAAUUGCAUGCAUUAAGUGAGUGAAAGUAGAAUGAGGUUUUGUUUAUAUGUAUAUUAAGAGAAAAAUAUUAAGUAAAUUCGAGAUUUCAAGUAAUUAUAUAUGAGUGAUUUUGUGUAAUUUGCCAAAAAGCGUUUGAAACUUUUGGGCCACAUUGAAGAGCCCAUCAUCUGACAAACGGAGGAAAACAAUGAAAGGGGGAAACGACGACGCAGACGGAGAAUAGAAGUAAAAACAGAGCGAUAAAAUCGCUGAGAUAGGGUGCUGUGCAUUAUUGGAUUCUAUCUUAUGCACCACGCACAACUCAACUACAAGGAAUUCAGAAUGAGAGAUUGAAGAAGUAUGAGGAAUGGAGACGCAUACCCCCACUGAUUUGUCAGGAGAUUCUCUUGCGUGAUAAGUACUUUCAAACAUUUACCCUGCUUAUAUUUUGAUUUUCUACUAUUUACGGCUCGACUAAUUCCAUAAGAUAGCGGUCACCUCCCAUCAACAAUUUAGAAAUGUGAAGAAAUCAUCUAGUGUUUUUAUCUUCGUGGAGAAUACCCAAGCUUCUAUUCCAUUUUGUUGAUUAUGACUUGAAAAAUUCAAUCCAUAUCAAGCACUACAAAAUGCAGUCUAAGAAUUCAGGAUGACAUUUUUGUGUUCAGCUAAUGUUUUGUGCAUGAUAAUUUAUAGUUUCGCUCUGAAACUUACGAAAGUUGUAGUACAACGAGCUUAGUAGAUAUCUGACUUGGGAGUCAGGAUAUUAGAUAAAUUCAUAUUACAAUGAUUCUACCAUCUCUUAUAUAGAGUUAGCCUUAAUAUAAAAUAUGAAUGCCCCAACCUUCAUGGAGCUGAAAUCAUGAAAGAACACUAACGAGUGCAUAAGAAAUUGAUCCAUCAUUUUCAUAUUGUUUACAAAUUCAAUAAAAGGUUUCAAUUUAUUUACCAGUAUCGACAACGCCAAGCAUCAUUAUAAAUGAAAUAACGGAAUGUACGGGUUGGGCUGAAUCAUGAAUUUGGCCAGGUCAAAAUGAGCUAAGUUAAUAAAUAGGUGGGUUAUUGACCCGUCCAAAAGCUACUUGGGCCGAAAUAUGCUAAAAUGCGGGUUAUAACCCAAUCCGGUCAAUUCAUUCUUUUACGCAUUUUUCGUACCUGGUAGAGAAAAUUCUUUAUUAAGAUUAUAUAACAUAUCAAAUAAUUUUUUUUUUUUUGACAAGAUCUCUCAUGAGUCAAUUUGGGCUACAUAUCAAACCAAUUUUUUAAUGACUUGAAAUGGGUUGAGCUAAUAAAUGAGUGUGUUAUAAAAAAUAUUUGUUAUAAAGUAUUUUGACAAGAUCUCUCAUGAGUCAAUUUGGGCUACAUCUGAACCCAAAUUUUUAAUGAAUUGAAAUGGGUUUAGCUAAUAAAUUGGUGGGUCGUAAUAACAAUAUAAGAAUUGACCAAAUUAAGAGACUUGAUAGCUUGUAAUUCUGCUCCAAACACAUCCAAAUUUAAUAACUCCGAUUCGAUAGCUAGUAAUGUCUGCUCCAAACACAUCCAAAUUUAAUAACUCCAAUUACCACUGCCCCUGUAUCCACUAUUGUCUUGUGGAUAAUAAUUUAUGCUUACGCUCUGAAACUUUGGAGAUAUGUAGUACACUCGGGUUAGUAGAUAUCUGACUGGGGAGGCAUAGGACACGAGGGUUUUAUUUAGGGCUUGUUCAUGCUAAUGUGAAUUAUGCGCUUUGAGUUUUAGAUGCUCAACUUCCUUUAAUCUGAAAUUACUUUCUAAGAUUAGGUGCUCAAUCAGUAUCUCUAUAUGUUAUUACCAAUUUUCAACACAAAAGUAGUGUUUGGGUAAUAAACAAUUGUUGCUCAAGCAUCUAGUUACCUCGAUGCAGGUCUGCCACUAUACCGUACUGUAACAAAAGACCAAAGAAGCUAGGAGAUUAGGUGCCGACUCAUGUUUAUCCAAUGAAACGAUUUCUCUUUGUGUUUUAGAUUGGAGUG